AGGGUUUGAUUAGGAUUUGAUUUAGGAUUAGGAUUUGGUUAGGAUUUGAUUUAGGGUUAGUAUUUGGUUAGGAUUUGAUUUAGAAUUAGAAUUUGGUUAGCAUUUGAUUUAGGAUUAGAAUUUGAUUUAGGAUUUAGGAUUUGGUUUAAGGUUUAGGAUUUGAUUUAGGAUUUAAGAUUUGAUUAAGGUUUGGUUUAGGAUUUAGGAUUUGGUUAGGAUUUGAUUUAGGAUUAGGAUUUGGUUAGGAUUUGAUUUACAAUUAGGAUUUGGUUGGAAUUUUAUUUAUGAUUGGGAUUUGGUUUAGGAUUUAGGAUUUAGUUAGGGUUUGAUUUAGAAUUUAGAAUUUCGUUUAAGAUUUAAGAUUUGGUUAGGAUUUGAUUUAGGAUUAGGAUUUGGUUAGAAGUUGAUUUAGAGUUUAGGAUUUGGUCAAGAUUUGAUUUAGGAUUUAAGGUUUUAUUUGAAUUUUUUUAGAAUUUAAGAUUUAGUUAGUUUUUGGCAUAAAGUUUGAAUAAAGUCCAAUAGGAUUUGUGAGGCCAAAUUUCACCACUUGAUGAAACCUAUGCCACACAA
Molecule: long non-coding RNA, 570 nt
Filed under: Physcomitrium patens
Lineage: Eukaryota; Viridiplantae; Streptophyta; Bryopsida; Funariales; Funariaceae
Description: long non-coding RNA (PPAT_LNC006397)
Source: RNAcentral